AAAGAAUUAGUUAAAAUAUAACAUAAAUAUGUCAAAUUUAUAUUAUUACUCUAAUGUAAUAUUCUUUU
RNAcentral lists this transfer RNA (68 nucleotides) under Byasa polyeuctes. Its description in RNAcentral is "tRNA-Asp". The record is from RNAcentral. Lineage: Eukaryota; Metazoa; Arthropoda; Insecta; Lepidoptera; Papilionidae.